AUUUAAAUCGACCGUUUAAUUUAUAUUUUCCGACCAUCCGUGGUCGUAUCAAUCAAACGUAUUUUUCUUAUUUGCAAUAUUCAUAGAAUUUGCUUUAGCUAUUCCAACACCGUAUUGAAAAGAAAAAUCCAACAAACAUACUUUUGAUGGUAGAUAAUUUGGUAACACAAUAUGGUGAUUAUUCCAGAAAGAGCCAAUUAUACAAAACUUUGUUUGGCUUUAUAAAUAUUUUGAUAUGAGCGUCAUUGAUGAGUCUUAUGUAGACGAAACGCGCGUCUGGCGUACUAAAUUAUAAUCCUGGUACCUUUGAUAACUAUUUACACCACUGGGUCAAUGCCACUGCUGGUGGACGUUUCGUCCCCGAGGGUAUCACCAGCCCAGUAGUCAACAUUUCGGUGUUGACAUGAAUAUCAAUAAUGUGGUCAUUUUUAUAAAUUUCCUGUUUACAAAACAUUGAAUUUUACGAAAAAAUAAGGAUUUUUUAUCCCAGGCAUAGAUUACCUUAGCCGUAUUUGGCACAACUUUUUGGAAUUUUGGAUCCUCAAUGCUCUUCAACUUUGAACUUGUUUGGCUUUAUAAAUAUUUUGAUAUGAGCGUCACUGAUGAGUCUUAUGUAGACGAAACCCGCGUCUGGCGUACUAAAUUAUAAUCCUGGUACCUUUGAUAACUAUUGCUAAUAAUUACUUAUAUCCACUUCAUUUGAGUACUUGUCUUAUUUUAAAGCAAAUCAGUAAAUUAAAAUGCCACACUUAAUGUUCUGAAAUAACAUGUUGAGUUAUUCUCUAUAGAAAAGUUUAGAUACUGUAAACCAACUUAUUUUCGCGGAUAAUUUUUUUCGAGUUUAGCCCUAUCUAUUCCAUUUUGCAGCAAUUCAAUUUUCGAUUCUCAAAUGUACUUUAUGUAGUUAAGUAAGAAAUCAUCAGUUUUACAUAUUCGCGACGAUUUGUAUUCGAGAUAUUAUUCUACUCGCGAAAGUCAGGAAAAUAAAUCGCCCGCAAAAAUAUGUUGGUUUACAGUAGUUUACAAAAGAUUUUUUUUCUAAUUUGCAAUCGUAAAGGAAGCUUGUAUAGCUUUUCGAACAGUGUCAAGCAAAGAAUUUUGUAUACUUACAGAACAUUAUCUAAAACUUAAUCAUGACAAUCCUUGAAUUAUUGCAGAGUUUACAAAACUGUUAGCGAAUUAAUUGUUGUUAUUUAAUGCAAAUAAUCAAUUAAUAUAACAAGAUGAUCUCAUUUUUUUAUAUUCAUAUGAUGCUAUACCCUUUAUAACCAAAACAUAUAGUUCUGAAAUGAAUCUUUAAUAGGUAUUUGACGAAUAAGACUCACCUUUCACAAUCACUGUUUUAUCAAAAGGGUCCAGGAUUUCAGGUAGCAUCAAUCAAUUAGCUUUAUAAAACGUAUAUCAUGACCCCAUACAGUUUUGUAGUUUUAAUAAUGAUAUGGUAUUAAUAUGGAUUCAAUCCUAAGGUCUUUGCAUCGAAAAUAAAAAUACCAAUUGUUGGCAUGAUACGGGAUAUGUUAUUCUCAUAUGAUUUAUGAAGGUAUGAUUCUAAACCCCUAAAGGGAAGGAUUUUGCUUGAUAUGUAUAUGAUGAAGACAUAAUUCUUCAAUUAGUUUAUAUGAGGUCUAGAACUGGCAUGUCAGUUACUGGUAGUAGUUCUUUUGUUAAUUUAUGUAUCAUUGUUAAUUAUCUUUGUUUUAUUUUUUAUUCUGCCAAGGGACGCGGAAUCAUUUUAACCUGAGUUUUACUGUGUGUAUCCUGUGUGUGUGUUUAUUUUACAUUGGCUAAUGGUAUAAGGGAGAGGGUUGAGAUCACAAAAAGAGUAUUUUAUUUUAUCAAGCGAGUGUUUAAGUGGAUAUGAACAGAUUGAAAUUUAUGUUACAACCAUCUUUUGCCAUAGGACCUAAUUAUCGAUAAUUGUAAAGUUUUGAAUAAAAAGCAGGAAAAGCCGACCUAUUAUUAUGUGUGUACAAGGUUUAGUUUUUUGCAUCCAAUUUUCUAUGAGUUUUUCUUAAUGAAACACAUAAAUUGUCGUCAGUCGAUCACUUCAAACGAUUACCAAAUCUUUAAAUAGACUUAUUCAAAAGGGAAAUAGUUCCGAUACCGUGUCAAGUAAUUAAAGACGGACUUUUUUUAGAAUUGAUGCUAAUUAACUUGUGACAUCUUUGUAUCGAAAAUAUUCACAUUUAUUCUGGAACCAGUUUUUGACAUGAUACGGAAUAGGUUCUUCUCGUACAUUUUAUGAUAUUAUAAUUCAAAACCCCCAAAGAGAGGGAUUGUGCUUGAUUUCCAUAUGAUGAUGACAUAAUCUUUCAAACAGUUUAAUUAAGGUAUGGAGCUGGAACAUCAGUCAUUGCAAGUACUUAGUACAUGUAGUCUUUUGUUAAUGUAUGUUUCAUUGUCAUCUUGCUUAGAUUUUAUUUUUACCUAAUCUGACAUCAGACUUGGACUUCUUUUAAAAUGAGUUUAGCUGAACUUUUCGAUGCGUAUUUGUUUAUUCUAAAUUAGCUAGAUAUGAGGUUUGAAAUCUCAC
This 2533-nucleotide long non-coding RNA is filed under the name Mytilus galloprovincialis (Mediterranean mussel). The record is from RNAcentral. Lineage: Eukaryota; Metazoa; Mollusca; Bivalvia; Mytilida; Mytilidae.